Molecule: ribosomal RNA, 487 nt
Filed under: uncultured bacterium
Lineage: Bacteria
Description: bacterial SSU rRNA
Rfam family: Bacterial small subunit ribosomal RNA
Source: RNAcentral
AUUGAACGCUGGCGGCAUGCCUAACACAUGCAAGUCGAACGGAGGUAGGGGCAACUCUACUUCAGUGGCGGACGGGUGAGGAAUGCGUCGGAAUCUACCCUAUGGUGGGGGAUAACACAGGGAAACUUGUGCUAAUACCGCAUAAUGUCGAGAGACCAAAGCAGGGGACCGCAAGGCCUUGCGCGAUAGGAUGAGCCGACGCCGAUUAGCUAGUUGGUAGGGUAAAGGCCUACCAAGGCGACGAUCGGUAGCUGGUCUGAGAGGAUGAUCAGCCACACUGGGACUGAGACACGGCCCAGACUCCUACGGGAGGCAGCAGUGGGGAAUAUUGGACAAUGGGGGCAACCCUGAUCCAGCAAUACCGCGUGUGUGAAGAAGGCCUGCGGGUUGUAAAGCACUUUCAGUGGGAGGAAGAGCUUAUGUUAAUAGCAAUGAGUUGAGACGUUACCCACAGAAGAAGCAACCGGCUAACUCUGUGCCAGCAGCC